RNAcentral lists this ribosomal RNA (490 nucleotides) under uncultured bacterium. RNAcentral describes it as "partial 16S ribosomal RNA". It matches the Rfam family "Bacterial small subunit ribosomal RNA", at positions 30 to 507 of the family's 1533-position model. The record is from RNAcentral.
AUUGAACGCUGGCGGCAGGCCUAACACAUGCAAGUCGAACGGUAACAGGGAUCAGCUUGCUGAUUCGCUGACGAGUGGCGGACGGGUGAGUAAUGUCUGGGAAACUGCCUGAUGGAGGGGGAUAACUACUGGAAACGGUAGCUAAUACCGCAUAACGUCGCAAGACCAAAGAGGGGGACCUUCGGGCCUCUUGCCAUCGGAUGUGCCCAGAUGGGAUUAGCUAGUAGGUGGGGUAACGGCUCACCUAGGCGACGAGCCCUAGCUGGUCGGAGAGGAUGACCGGCCACACUGGAACGUGGACACGGUCCAGACUCCUACGGUAGGCAGCAGUGGGGAAUAUUGCACAAUGGGCGCAAGCCUGAUGCAGCCAUGGCGCGUGUAUGAAGAAGGCCUUCGGGUUGUAAAGUACUUUCAGCGGGGAGGAAGGGAGUAAAGUUAAUACCUUGGCUCAUUGACGUUACCCGCAGAAGAAGCACCGGCUAACUCCGUG